GGCAGCUCCGCUGUACUUAAUGGGAGGAAAACUUGCCCUUGGGGAUGCACCCCAGCUCAUUCACCAGCGCCCUUUCACACUCACUAACAAACCACAGGGACAAAGGGAGUGAAGGCAAGCAGAGAAUUAAUUUAUAUGUGGGAGAACUCCUUUCUUCCAAGAGUACAUGUUUUAGAGAGUUUUUUGUGGAAAUACCGGAUUCUCUUUUUCCUGUUUCAGUAUUUCCCCUCUUCACCUGGCUGUUCUCAGUAGUGGAGCUGGCAUGGCUGAGAGUGAACAUAGUUAAUUCUCUUUUAGAGAGCCUAAACAGGAUGAAGACAAGGGAGCAAAUUUGGAAGGCAGAGAACACAUACUUGAAACCUCAAAGAAAACAAAAAUAGUCAAAAAUUCUUGCAAGCUAACAAGAAGUAAGUUUACUACAGGUACAUCCUUAAUGCAUCUCACAUCUAGAAAACUGCAGUUAGAGCACUCCUAGGUAAUAACAUUUGCUGAAGAAAUGUUUCCCUGAAAUCUUUGCACUGGGUGCCAAGCUGUCACAGGUCUGCUCUAACUGCAUAAAGGCACAGAGGCAUCGUCAUACAAGUUUCCUCAUACUACUUGAGACUGCAAAAAGAUUAAAUUCUGCUCCCCCAAAGCUGCUUGAGUGAACUCCCUUUCUGCUUGCAGAAACCUUGUCAAGAUGAGGUUAACUUUCUUUUUUGCUUUCAGACAUUUUGCAUUUCUAUCUUGCACUUUAUCACUGUGUGUUUG
Long non-coding RNA from Falco peregrinus (peregrine falcon), 750 nucleotides. RefSeq lists it as uncharacterized. The transcript is spliced from 3 exons. NCBI's taxonomy places the organism in Eukaryota, Metazoa, Chordata, Aves, Falconiformes, Falconidae. The record is from RefSeq and is a predicted model, not a curated record.